UACGGGGGGGGCAAGCGUUGUUCGGAAUUACUGGGCGUAAAGGGUCUGUAGGUGGCUUGCUAAGUCAGACGUGAAAUCCCUCGGCUUAACCGGGGAACUGCGUCUGAUACUGGCGAGCUUGAGUGCAGGAGAGGAACGCGGAAUUCCAGGUGUAGCGGUGAAAUGCGUAGAUAUCUGGAGGAAUACCGGUGGCGAAGGCGGCAUCCUGGACCAUUACUGCCGCUGAGGCGCGAAAGCUAGGGGAGCAAACGGG
This 253-nucleotide ribosomal RNA is filed under the name uncultured bacterium. RNAcentral describes it as "partial 16S ribosomal RNA". It matches the Rfam family "Bacterial small subunit ribosomal RNA", at positions 524 to 776 of the family's 1533-position model. The record is from RNAcentral.